RNAcentral lists this ribosomal RNA (494 nucleotides) under uncultured bacterium. RNAcentral describes it as "partial 16S ribosomal RNA". It matches the Rfam family "Bacterial small subunit ribosomal RNA", at positions 28 to 507 of the family's 1533-position model. The record is from RNAcentral.
GACGAACGCUGGCGGCGUGCUUAACACAUGCAAGUCGAACGGAAAGGCCUGCUUUCCCUUGUGGGUUGCGGGUACUCGCGUGGCGAACGGGUGAGUAACACGUGAGUGAUCUGUCCCCAACUUGUGUAUAAGCCUGGGCAACUGGGUCUAAUUCCCGAUUGGACCGCAGGGUGGUGCCUGUGGUGGAACACGAUUUUCUAGUGGUUGGGGAUGAGCUCGCGGCCUAUCAGCUUGUUGGUGGGGUAAUGGCCUACCAAGGCGGGGACGGGUAGCCGGCCUGGGAUGGUGGGCGGGCACAUGGGGACGGAGAUACGGCCCAGACUCCUACGGGAAGCAGCAGUGGGGAAGAAUGAGCGAGGGACGGAGGCCUAAGGCAGCGACGCCGCUGGGGGGAUGACGGGCUUCGGGUGGUAAACUCCUUGCGACCGCGAGGAAGCCACCUGGAUGGAAGGGUGGUGACGGUAGUGGUAGAAGAAGCACCGGCUAACUACGUG